GCGCGAGUGCCGGAGGACCUCCGCUGCCGGUGGUGCCCCUCGCGUCCCAGCAGGAGGAGGGGACCCCCUCCCGCGCCGUGCCCCCCGCAGCCAAUGCGCCCACACCCUGGCUUCCGACAGCUGGCAGCCAUAGCAACCCGGCCACAGAAAGUUUCGCUACGCAGAGAGCGACCUGGAAUAAAGUUUUCCUCCGCGCCUCGCUAGCUGUCCCCCGGCCCGGGUUUACAGAAAGAGACAGGAAAUCAGAGCUCGCGACGUGCCGGCUCCCGCGUCCACCUUCUCCACCCGUGCCCCGGGCAGCGUGCCCAAGCGUCACUCCUCAGGGAAACCGUAGUAGCCAACAAGCUUGGAGCUGCUGGAGUUUCCAAAGACCUCUGGAUCCUGUAGUCCUCCUCCCCCGCCAGCCUCCAAAGAGCGCUGCGGACCCAGGCUCGCUCCUGGUGGCGAGACGCGAACUGUGAAGAAGAAAACCCUCGUGAAGGAGGAGCAAACCUUUCACUUCGCUGUGUUUUAAGACGAACAUGAGGGUGGGUUUCGCUUCCAAGUUGAACUGGCAUGAUUUUCCCAGAACUUUUUUUUUUUUUUUGAAGGAAAUCUGUUAUCAGCAUAAAAGAUCAGAGUCGUGGCAGCAGCCCAAAGGAAAUCCUUUUCUUUCCCACGUCUGGAUUGUGAGCAAAGUCAAAAAUAUCGUUUUCCUACCCCUCCUUUUACCUGGAUUUCCUUGGAAAACAAAGGAAGCCUUCUGACUGCUUUUU
This is a long non-coding RNA of Sapajus apella (tufted capuchin), 755 nucleotides long. RefSeq lists it as uncharacterized. The transcript has 2 exons. The record is from RefSeq and is a predicted model, not a curated record. Lineage: Eukaryota; Metazoa; Chordata; Mammalia; Primates; Cebidae.